CAAAACGGAGAGUUUGAUCCUGGCUCAGGAUGAACGCUGGCGGUAUGCUUAACACAUGCAAGUCGAACGGAAUCUUC
This 77-nucleotide ribosomal RNA is filed under the name Trichormus variabilis 9RC. RNAcentral describes it as "partial 16S ribosomal RNA". It matches the Rfam family "Bacterial small subunit ribosomal RNA", at positions 1 to 76 of the family's 1533-position model. RNAcentral also lists the same sequence under 5 other names. The record is from RNAcentral. Lineage: Bacteria; Bacillati; Cyanobacteriota; Cyanophyceae; Nostocales; Nostocaceae.